UGAUUUGAUUGGCUCAUCUUCUUGCUUGGAUCAUGGAGGUUUCACUUGACUGACACCGAAUAAUCUCCCCUGUUCGGUUGAUAGAUCGGGCUGGUUAAAGCUUUGUGAUGUGUAUAUAUAGAGAAAAGGUCGUUUAUGGGGAAAGAGCCCCCGUCUUUCUGAGUUGGCCUCACCAUUUUGUAAGUUAUGAGCGAAGCUCCACUUGGAUGCAUUGAUUAUCUCGAGGUCUUAGUUGCAUGUGAUUGUCAUUCAGUCUCUUUCGUCAAAACUUGAAUUGGACUUGCUUUAAAACUCCCCCAAUAAUAAAUUAUAUUUUAACUA
This is a long non-coding RNA of Cucurbita pepo subsp. pepo (vegetable marrow), 321 nucleotides long. RefSeq lists it as uncharacterized. The record is from RefSeq and is a predicted model, not a curated record. Lineage: Eukaryota; Viridiplantae; Streptophyta; Magnoliopsida; Cucurbitales; Cucurbitaceae.